Arachis ipaensis is the source of this 377-nucleotide non-coding RNA. Lineage: Eukaryota; Viridiplantae; Streptophyta; Magnoliopsida; Fabales; Fabaceae. The record is from RefSeq and is a predicted model, not a curated record.
UCUCUUUCUAUCAUAGUGCAUACUCGUGGUUGAAGUUAGAUAUUGAGAAUGUUGUGGUUGUCCACUGUAAGGCUGGAACGAACAAGGUUGAUGAUUUCUAGUCUUCUAUUAUUCUUGAAGUUCUUUCCAAUUGCUGAGGAGUCAAUGGAUUACUAUAAUCAGAAAUGAUGUGUUGAUGGAAAAAGACUUGUUCUGCCCAGUCAGAUUGGAAGCUGUGAAACAUUUUGGUCCUGGUCCUAGUGUUCCUCACAGCCAUACCAAGCCUUAUGUACGAUCUAAGGGAAGGAAGUUUGAGAGGGCUAGAGGAAGAAAGAACAACAAAGGACUUAGUGUUUAAGUUGUAUUGUUUCUGUAUUUUUCUACCAUUUUUAGUUUUG